RNAcentral lists this long non-coding RNA (1618 nucleotides) under Nicotiana benthamiana. Its description in RNAcentral is "long non-coding RNA (NBEN_LNC004515)". The record is from RNAcentral. Lineage: Eukaryota; Viridiplantae; Streptophyta; Magnoliopsida; Solanales; Solanaceae.
UAACAGUUUGUCAGUCCACUUAAUACAGCGCAAACAACAAUUUAAACCAUAUCAAUAAACUAGAUGUUGAAUACACAGUUCAUGAAUUGAAUAAUUCGGAAAAUCUCAUGCUUCGUUUCUUCACAUUUAUGCUCACAAUUAUCAAAUACAAUGAGAUUGACGAGAGAUCAGCAACAGUAAAUGUGACAGCAGAAGUAGAUGAGAACCAAAUCAGCAGCAAAGCAGUUUCCCCCAGAAAAUACUCUCAAACAAUAGCCAGAUGAAUUGUAUAACCAAACGCAACAACAAUCACUCUAAGCAGGAUCAAUUACACUCGAACCGACCCAACAACAGAACCAACAGACUUCAGAGCCAAUUCAGUAGCUAAAGGGUGAAAAUCAAUCCUAGAACUCAAAUUUCAGCUAGUAAGCCAAUGGAACAGUGCCUGUAUUUUCAUUUUUCUAUUGCAUUUGUUCUGUUUUUUGGAUUUUUUGAAAGUUUUCUAUUGUUUUGGUUUUAAAAUUUGAAUUUCUACCUCAGAUCUGAAAAUAAUUAGAGAGAGUUUUUUUAGGGAAUUAGAUGGCUGAAAAACUACUUGUUCAAGGCAUGUGAGUAUCCUUUUAUAGGCACUAAGAGAUGCAACUUCAGAUUUUUUCUUUCUCACAUUAGUCCUUAUUUUAUUUUCAAAUUGGUCCUUUACUUAUUAAGUUGCUACUCAAGUUACCAUCCUCAUUUACUGAAAUGUAUCUUAAAACCAAUCUCUAGAAUCUUCUGAGAUAUUCUAGUAUAACCUACAUCCAUUCUACCCAGCCCUAAGUACCCAAAUACCCCUGAUAUUAAACUAGAACUACAGCUUAAGAAAAAGAAAAAGAAAAAGGAAAACAAAAGAGGGGAACUCACUGGUCAUUUCAGAUUUACCAAUCGGCCAAUGCCAAAGGGAUUUGAACGCCGUCAACCUUGAAUUCAUCACGAGGGAACCCCAGGGACCAUAUGGUAUCAAUUUGGCGAAUUUUGGGAAAAUUAGAGUUUUGGCCAGAAUUUUAAAAAUUAAUAUUCGAACAGUUUGGGCAAUAUUUGAAGGACGGGGUUAGGGGGUUCGAUAGAGGAGGUUUGGGUGAUUCUGCGGUGUUAAUUUGGAUUGAUUUGGGAUAACCAGCGUCUUGGUCGGAGAUAUUUCAAAUGGAUAUUUGAGGACAUGGGGUGGGAUUCGAGGAAAAUGAGUUAUGUAUUUGAAUAGAGGAAGAGACGGGGAAUUUGGGGUGUAUUUUUGGCGGGGAUUGGAGGCGUUGGUGUCUUUACCGGCAACGGCGGAACCGCUGGUGUUACAAGAGCUGCAUACAAGGAAGACGAAGAAUAUGUUUUAGGGUUUGAUUUUUUUCAGACACUUAUAUUAUUUGGCCUUGAGGGAAUGAUGACCGUUUGGGAUGAUGGACGACCCAGAUUGAGGGACACUGAAACGGUGUCGUUUUGGCCAUUUAAUGGGAAACAGACCAGAUUGGUUUGAACUGGACUAGGCUGGGACAUGUUUUGAGUGGUUUGGACGUGGGUUGGUUUGGGUUGCGAAGAAAAUGAAGUAAUGUGGCCCAAUUCGAGAAAAUUCUUUCUUUUGCCUUCCUUUUUUUUGUUUUCUUUUGUUUCU